Melanotaenia boesemani (Boeseman's rainbowfish) is the source of this 798-nucleotide long non-coding RNA. RefSeq lists it as uncharacterized. Lineage: Eukaryota; Metazoa; Chordata; Actinopteri; Atheriniformes; Melanotaeniidae. The transcript is spliced from 3 exons. The record is from RefSeq and is a predicted model, not a curated record.
CAAACACGCUGUGAGGAUCUGCUGGAAACAUCUGGCAGAGUCCCCUGUCAAAGAGCUUCAACUCCCACCUCUGGCAGAGCUGCCAACAUGUUCCAGGUGAGGCUGGGGACAUUGAGUAGGCUGUUUGGGGGAGCUAUAGUUGUUGAAUGGUAGCAAUCCCCAAACCCGUUGGUGGACACCAGCAGUAAGAGAUGCUGUCAGGCUAAAAAAGUAGUCCUAUCGGGCCUUUCUGGCCUGUGGGACUCUGGAGGCAGCUGAUGGGUAUUGGCAGGAUAACCAGAGAGCAGCUUCAGAAGUGGCUGAGACGGGUGUGAAAAAAGUUCAGUGAGGCUAUGGAAAAUGACUUCCAGAUGCCUUACAGGAAAUUCUGGUCUCCCAUUAGGUGGCUCAGGAGGGGGAAGCAGCCCACCAUCAACACUGUGUACAGUGAUGGGAUGCUGCUGACUUCAAGGAAUACUUCAAAGACCUCCUCAAACCCACCAACACGUCUCAAAUUAAGACCAUGGUCCUAUGCCAGAAAAGGGUGGAGUGUCUUUUUCAGGGUCUUGCCCCAAGUGGAGGACUUCAUGUAUCUCGGGGUCUUGUACAGCAACGGUCUGUCGUGGUAAGGAAGGAGCUAAGCAGAAAGGUGAAGUUCUUGAUCGAGGUUCCUAUCCUCACCUAUGGUUACCAGCUGUGGCUUGUGACCAAAAUAAUAAGAUCAUGAACAUAAGCGGCUGAAAUGAGUUAUCUUCUCAGCGUGUCUGGAUUCUCCCUUAAACAUAGGAGGAGGAGCUCAGACAUUUAGGAGGAGCUCAG